AUUAGUUGUAUUAGCUGGAACUGCGGGGGGCUUGGGAACCCCGAGGCAGUUCGAGAGCUUCGCAGCAUAGUGAAGGUAGAAGGCCCCUCUCUUGUCUUUGUUAUGGAAACGAUGAUUAGAGGUAAAAGAGCGGAGGAUCUGCAGCAUACUCUAGGUUUUGGAGGCUGUUUUGAAGUAGAUAGUGUUGGUUUAGGUGGUGGGAUUGGCCUUUUU
RNAcentral lists this ribosomal RNA (213 nucleotides) under Triticum aestivum (bread wheat). RNAcentral's name for it is "partial small subunit ribosomal RNA". Lineage: Eukaryota; Viridiplantae; Streptophyta; Magnoliopsida; Poales; Poaceae. The record is from RNAcentral.